Molecule: ribosomal RNA, 253 nt
Filed under: uncultured bacterium
Lineage: Bacteria
Description: partial 16S ribosomal RNA
Rfam family: Bacterial small subunit ribosomal RNA
Source: RNAcentral
UACAGAGGGUGCUAGCGUUAAUCGGAUUUAUUGGGCGUAAAGGGUGCGUAGGUGGUAAAGCAAGUAAGAUGUGAAAGCCCCGGGCUCAACCUGGGAAGUGCAUCUUAAACUGCUUAACUAGAGUACAGUAGAGGGUAGUGGAAUUUCCGGUGUAGCGGUGAAAUGCGUAGAGAUCGGAAGGAACGCCAGUGGUGAAGACGACUACCUGGACUGAUACUGACACUGAGGCACGAAAGCGUGGGGAGCAAACAGG